CUGAGGAUACGGUUAACGGAGCGCAAGCGACGUUCAACCGCAAAAGAAGCAGAGGGGGCUUAGUGGUGGGGUGACUGCGUACCUUUUGUAUAAUGGGUCAGCGACUUAUAUUCUGUAGCAAGGUUAACCGUAUAGGGGAGCCGGAGGGAAACCGAGUCUUAAUUGGGCGUUAAGUUGCAGGGUAUAGACCCGAAACCCGGUGAUCUAGCCAUGGGCAGGUUGAAGGUUGGGUAACACUAACUGGAGGACCGAACCGACUAAUGUUGAAAAAUUAGCGGAUGACCUGUGGCUGGGGGUGAAAGGCCAAUCAAACCGGGAGAUAGCUGGUUCUCCCCGAAAGCUAUUUAGGUAGCGCCUCGUGAAUUCAUCUCCGGGGGUAGAGCACUGUUUCGGCUAGGGGGCCAUCCCGGCUUACCAACCCGAUGCAAACUGCGAAUACCGGAGAAUGUUAUCACGGGAGACACACGGCGGGUGCUAACGUCCGUCGUGAAGAGGGAAACAACCCAGACCGCCAGCUAAGGUCCCAAAGUCAUGGUUAAGUGGGAAACGAUGUGGGAAGGCCCAGACAGCCAGGAUGUUGGCUUAGAAGCAGCCAUCAUUUAAAGAAAGCGUAAUAGCUCACUGGUCGAGUCGGCCUGCGCGGAAGAUGUAACGGGGCUAAACCAU
This 666-nucleotide ribosomal RNA is filed under the name Salmonella enterica subsp. enterica serovar Derby. Its description in RNAcentral is "partial 23S ribosomal RNA". It matches the Rfam family "Bacterial large subunit ribosomal RNA", at positions 568 to 1190 of the family's 2925-position model. The record is from RNAcentral. Lineage: Bacteria; Pseudomonadati; Pseudomonadota; Gammaproteobacteria; Enterobacterales; Enterobacteriaceae.